RNAcentral lists this ribosomal RNA (618 nucleotides) under Vermamoeba vermiformis. Its description in RNAcentral is "SSU rRNA". It matches the Rfam family "Eukaryotic small subunit ribosomal RNA", at positions 585 to 1204 of the family's 1831-position model. Lineage: Eukaryota; Tubulinea; Echinamoebida; Vermamoebidae. The record is from RNAcentral.
CCAGCUCCAAGAGUGUAUAUUAAAGUUGUUGCAGUUAAAAAGCUCGUAGUUGGAUUUCGGAAGGUCCUUAGCAGUCCGCCCCUUCGGGGAGCGGGUUGCUGGCCUCCUAUGUUCCUAACGGUCCUCAUCCGCGAGGGUGGGGAAUCAACCGCUAGGAUCGUUUACUUUGAGGAAAUUAGAGUGUUCAAAGCAGGCGUAACUCGCCUCCGAAUACGUUAGCAUGGGAUAAUGGAAUACGACUUCGGUCUUGUUUCGUUGGUUUCGCUUGGCUGAAGUAAUGAUUGAUAGGGACAGUUGGGGGCAUUAGUAUUUAGUUGUCAGAGGUGAAAUUCUAGGAUUUACUAAAGACUGACCAAUGCGAAAGCAUUUGCCAAGGAUGUUUUCAUUAAUCAAGAACGAAAGUAGGGGGAUCGAAGACGAUCAGAUACCGUCGUAGUCUCUACCGUAAACUAUGCCGACCAGGGAUCCGGAGAGUUUGCAUGGAUGACUCCCCGGGCACCUUGUGAGAAAUCAUAAGUGUUUGGGUUUUGGGGGGAGUAUGGUCGCAAGGCUGAAACUUAAAGGAAUUGACGGAAGGGCACCACCAGGAGUGGAACCUGCGGCUUAAUUCGACUCAAC